GGGUAGAGGAAGGUGGGUCCCUGGCUAGGGCUCCACCCCCAUGAAUCUAGGGGUGCUCAAUGUCAUCACAAGGGUCCUUAAGAGGGAAAGAGGAAGCCAUGAGGGUCAGAGUCAAAGGAAGACUUGAAGAUACUACACUGAGGACUUUAAAGAUGAAGGAAGGGGCGAAAACCAAGAAUGUGGGAAGCCUCUAGAAGCUAGAGAAGGCAAGGAAACAGAUUUUCCACUAGAGCCUCCAGAAGGAACACAGCCCUGCUGACCCACUGUAAUGUCUGACCUCUAGAUGUGUAAGGGUAGUAAGACUGAAAGUCUCAGAAAGGCACUGUUACAUUCUUAUUCCACAACCAUGCAACUCAAAACUGGGGUCCUCAGCAAUGAGCGAGGGGCGAGAGAAGGCACUGUAUAAACAUGGCACAUCCUCCUGGAAAGUCAACUUUACUCAAAGCUUUAGAAACCCAGCUCAAACUAGCUGAAGCAGAAAAGACACUACUGCGCCUGUAAGUUGAAAUUUUGGAGGGAUAUAUUUCAGAGGUGUGGCUAGAUCCAAGGGCUCUCUGGAAAACUCUGUGAAAAAAUGCUUCCUCAAGUCCAGAAACCAGAAGCUCAGGAAAUUCUUGCUUGGUUCCUCUUGUUAGAGGCAGAGAUUAUUCAACGACCUACAGGGUAGCGUUUGAACAUUGUCACCAGGAGUCUUUACUUUGCCAUUUUCCAAGUCUGUUCUCCUCAGUGUUGGUUUCAUUUACAAGAAGGCCAUCUUUGCCCUCGUGGCAAUGAUGGUCUUUACUCCAGGCUUAAGACCCUUACUAUCUACUAUUUCCAAAGCGGAGAGAGAACUUCCCACACCUAGUGACCUGUGACACAGGAUUUUAUCCUGAGGACAGAGGGAAUUCAAUUGGCUAACAUAAUCUGUCUUCCAAUGGAGUAAGAAUGUCUGGACUCUUUCCUUCACCUACCCCCAAGACAUGGAGGUGUCUAAAAGAUAAAUAAAACUUGGUGACUGACUGAAGGAGGAAGAGGGGAUUUCAGGCAAAAUCAACCCUGUUCACUAUGAGGAGACUUCAGAAAGGUUGCCUGCUUCUGGGGAGCAUAGUCCCUGAUUCCUCAAGACACACAUUUAUUCUUUUCUUCAAUGUAUUUGCCUGCAGUCAAAACAAAAUCAUUACCUUUAGCAAAGUUCACAUGUUUCAGCCAAAUCCAUAUGCAUCUGAUCAGUUCUGUAGGUUAUGGGUGAGCAUGAACAUAUAAAAGAGGCACCUGCCUGUGCCCAUCUACUCCAUGGAGUUUGAAAAGGGGCCACUUAUGGAGAAUGUCUUUAGGGACAGAACCAACCACCCUGUCUUUCCUCCAACUCUCAAAGUAACUUCUGGCUUUAAUCCUCAAGUAUCUAUGCUGGAGUUUAAGAAAAAUGUUUUUCAUAGAAUUCAGGUGUAUGA
RNAcentral lists this long non-coding RNA (1433 nucleotides) under Pongo abelii (Sumatran orangutan). RNAcentral describes it as "lincRNA". Lineage: Eukaryota; Metazoa; Chordata; Mammalia; Primates; Hominidae. The record is from RNAcentral.